AGGGUUUGAUCAUGGCUCAGAUUGAACGCUGGCGGCAGGCCUAACACAUGCAAGUCGAGCGGUAACGCGGGGCAACCUGGCGACGAGCGGCGGACGGGUGAGUAACGCGUAGGAAUCUACCUGGUAGUGGGGGAUAGCCCGGGGAAACUCGGAUUAAUACCGCAUAAGCCCCAAGGGGGAAAGCGGGGGUCGCAAGACCUCGCGCUAUCAGAAGAGCCUGCGUUGGAUUAGCUAGUUGGUAGGGUAAAGGCCUACCAAGGCGACGAUCCAUAGCUGGUCUGAGAGGAUGAUCAGCCACACUGGGACUGAGACACGGCCCAGACUCCUACGGGAGGCAGCAGUGGGGAAUAUUGGACAAUGGGGGCAACCCUGAUCCAGCCAUGCCGCGUGUGUGAAGAAGGCCUUCGGGUUGUAAAGCACUUUAAGUGGGGAGGAAGGGGUCAACGCUAAUACCGUUGAUCAUUGACGCUACCCACAGAAUAAGCACCGGCUAACUCUGUGCCAGCAGCCGCGGUAAUACAGAGGGUGCAAGCGUUAAUCGGAAUUACUGGGCGUAAAGCGCGCGUAGGCGGCUGAUUAAGUCGGGUGUGAAAGCCCCGGGCUCAACCUGGGAAUUGCAUCCGAUACUGAUUGGCUAGAGUAUGAGAGAGGGAGGUAGAAUUCCACGUGUAGCGGUGAAAUGCGUAGAUAUGUGGAGGAAUACCGGUGGCGAAGGCGGCCUCCUGGCUUAAUACUGACGCUGAGGUGCGAAAGCGUGGGGAUCAAACAGGAUUAGAUACCCUGGUAGUCCACGCCGUAAACGAUGUCAACUAGCCGUUGGGCACCUUAGUGUGCUUGGUGGCGCAGCUAACGCGAUAAGUUGACCGCCUGGGGAGUACGGUCGCAAGAUUAAAACUCAAAUGAAUUGACAGGGGCCCGCACAAGCGGUG
This 929-nucleotide ribosomal RNA is filed under the name uncultured Gammaproteobacteria bacterium. RNAcentral describes it as "bacterial SSU rRNA". It matches the Rfam family "Bacterial small subunit ribosomal RNA", at positions 8 to 934 of the family's 1533-position model. Lineage: Bacteria; Pseudomonadati; Pseudomonadota; Gammaproteobacteria. The record is from RNAcentral.